Long non-coding RNA from Daphnia pulex (common water flea), 709 nucleotides. RefSeq lists it as uncharacterized. The record is from RefSeq and is a predicted model, not a curated record. The transcript has 3 exons. NCBI's taxonomy places the organism in Eukaryota, Metazoa, Arthropoda, Branchiopoda, Diplostraca, Daphniidae.
GUCCCCGAAAGUAUAUACGUCUGCUCGUGCUCCCCAAAACCCGUCUGUGUCAAAACGUCAGAAUUUUCGUUCAUCGGUUCAUUCACCUUGAUCGUUAGAUCAAGUCAGUUAUGGGAUCAUGGCGGUUUGCUGUCAAAAGUUAAGCUAAUUUUUCUUCGAAAAUUCCCUAUUCGAGUGAUUUCGUCUGUAAAUUGUCGGUGAUGUGUUCUAUUCGGUGUAUAUGUUGGAUAAACUUAAUGUUUCUCAUCAACUUAGAGGAGAAAACGUGUUGAAAGGGUUGUGCAGCUUACUUCUGUCAACCAUUUUGUUCAAAAUCAUGGUAUUCUACUGAAUGUGCCAUCAAAAUUAAACAGGUUCUUCAUUACAGGAUUCUAACACAUUGGCAUGACAGGAUUGACAGAUUUGAUGAGAAGGAAGGAGGCAUUCACAUAGUACAGGUUUCUAAAUUGGCAUGUCGUUUGAAGAAAAAGGACAAGGACUAUACAGUCAACAAGAUUCCUUGUUUUCUAACCCGAUGGCUGCUACCCUUGAAUCUCCCUGUUAACUUCCUUACAUGGGUUCUCUUGAUUUGAGGGUAACUCUUUCGCUACUGAUGACAUCAACUGUUGUAAACUGACGAGAGAAUGCUGCAAUUCAAGACUGAUACAUUGUGUAGUUGUUAGAUUCAAUUACAAGUGCAUAUCUGGGCUCCCUUCUUUUCUGUGGCCCC